CAACAUGUUUAGUCUUACAAAUUAUCCCCAAUUGACCACCGAUUGAAAGAGAAAGCAAAAAGGAAAAGAGAGAAGCAGAAACAAGGAGCUGAAAUUGAAUUUCUGGAUAGGUGAGCAUGGAACUAUGUAGAGGGCACGGCUAGCUGUGGAGCUCUUACGGGAUUCCAAAGAUCAAUGUACAUGGAUGAUGACCUGUAGGGUUAUUUUGUGGGCUAUUGUUUUGAGCUUACACUCUAUUGUGUCGUAUUUUGGGGGUCCUGUCUUGUAUAACUUUUGAAAUGGCCUAUAGAUGUGUUUAUAACCUUAGAACAUAUGUGUUGGAUUAUGGUUAUAUGAUCAUUGAUUUUGAUAUAA
Molecule: long non-coding RNA, 354 nt
Organism: Olea europaea var. sylvestris
Lineage: Eukaryota; Viridiplantae; Streptophyta; Magnoliopsida; Lamiales; Oleaceae
Exons: 2
Source: RefSeq, a predicted model, not a curated record